GAGCCCGUAGCUCAGUUGGUAGAGCACCGGACUUUUAAUCCGGGUGUCGCGCGUUCGAGCCGCGCCGGGCUCACCA
RNAcentral lists this transfer RNA (76 nucleotides) under Bacillota bacterium. Its description in RNAcentral is "Firmicutes bacterium (anaerobic digester metagenome) tRNA-Lys". It matches the Rfam family "tRNA". From Rfam's summary of the family: Transfer RNA (tRNA) molecules are approximately 80 nucleotides in length. Their secondary structure includes four short double-helical elements and three loops (D, anti-codon, and T loops). Lineage: Bacteria; Bacillati; Bacillota. RNAcentral also lists the same sequence under 1 other name. The record is from RNAcentral.